This 607-nucleotide ribosomal RNA is filed under the name uncultured bacterium. RNAcentral's name for it is "bacterial SSU rRNA". The stretch from base 1 to 514 matches the Rfam family "Bacterial small subunit ribosomal RNA", at positions 338 to 873 of the family's 1533-position model. The record is from RNAcentral.
CCUACGGGAGGCAGCAGUGGGGAAUCUUGCGCAAUGGGCGAAAGCCUGACGCAGCCAUGCCGCGUGAAUGAUGAAGGUCUUAGGAUUGUAAAAUUCUUUCAGUAGGGACGAUAAUGACGGUACCUACAGAAGAAGCCCCGGCUAACUUCGUGCCAGCAGCCGCGGUAAUACGAAGGGGGCUAGCGUUGCUCGGAAUUACUGGGCGUAAAGGGAGCGUAGGCGGGUUAUCAAGUUGGAGGUGAAAGCCCAGGGCUCAACCUUGGAAUUGCCUUCAAAACUGAUAGCCUAGAGUAUGAUAGAGGUAAGUGGAACUCCGAGUGUAGAGGUGAAAUUCGUAGAUAUUCGGAAGAACACCAGUGGCGAAGGCGACUUACUGGAUCAUGACUGACGCUGAGGCUCGAAAGCGUGGGGAGCAAACAGGAUUAGAUACCCUGGUAGUCCACGCUGUAAACGAUGAUUGUNUAGUGUCGACGGCAUGCGUCGGUGACGCAGCUACGACAUAAGACAUACCGCCGUCGGGAGGUACGGUCGCGAGAAGUUAAACGUUAAAAGGUAAAGUUAGUUACGGACGUGAGACGUAGCCGACGGACGACGACGAGGGAGGAGG